RNAcentral lists this small RNA (506 nucleotides) under Pan troglodytes (chimpanzee). RNAcentral describes it as "processed transcript". The record is from RNAcentral. Lineage: Eukaryota; Metazoa; Chordata; Mammalia; Primates; Hominidae.
GGGCGCGAGUGCGCCGGGGGCGCUGGGGGGCUCUGCGGCGGGCGGCGCGCGGCCCCGGGCGCGGCGCGGAGCGGAGCUGCAGGGCGGCGGCGGGAGCGCGGGGCGCAAGAGCCGCUCCGCCGGGAGUGCCGGGGAAGUUCGCGCUGGCAGCAUGGGGCGGUGACGCCGCACCGGCCUUCCGCGCCUGCCAGCCGGGCGAGAGCAGGCGGAGGAGAAGGAAGAUGCAUCCUCACCGACGGCUCGCCUCCCGGGGCCGGCGCGCAGGUGCCUUGCAGAGAGAGGAGUAGCUUGCUGGCUUUGAACGCGUGGCGUGGCAGAUAUUUCAGAAAGCUUCAAGAACAAGCUGGAGAAGGGAAGAGUUAUUCCUCCAUAUUCACCUGCUUCAACUACUAUUCUUAUUGGGAAUGGACAAUGGAAUGUUCUCUGGUUUUAUCAUGAUCAAAAACCUCCUUCUCUUUUGUAUUUCCAUGAACUUAUCCAGUCACUUUGGAAAUGACGCCACAACU